UACGAAGGGGGCUAGCGUUGUUCGGAAUUACUGGGCGUAAAGGGCGCGUAGGCUGUGCUGUAAGUCAGGCGUGAAAGGCCCGGGCUCAACCUGGGAAUGGCGCAUGAUACUGCGGCGCUGGAAGGCGGGAGAGGAUGGCGGAAUUCCCAGUGUAGAGGUGAAAUUCGUAGAUAUUCGCAAGAACACCAGUGGCGAAGGCGGCUCACUGGCCCGGUACUGACGCUGAGGCACGAAAGCGUGGGGAGCAAACAGG
RNAcentral lists this ribosomal RNA (253 nucleotides) under uncultured bacterium. RNAcentral describes it as "partial 16S ribosomal RNA". It matches the Rfam family "Bacterial small subunit ribosomal RNA", at positions 524 to 776 of the family's 1533-position model. The record is from RNAcentral.